UCAUGUGAACAGUAAGAGAGUCUCGAUGUAGCUGUUAUACUUACAACUCAGACUGGCUGUUUUCCCUUACACUUCACUUGGUAGCUGCUGUUUCUAUUCCAGACCUGGAGAAGGACACAUGGACCACAAAAAUUUCCACCACUGUAUCAGCUGUGCAUUUUCGACUAAUAAAAACCUAUUUCAGCCUUACUUCUUCUUAUUAUAACUUGCUUGUUUGAGAAGGGCUGCCUCUUGUCAGCCAGCCAGCCAGCCACCUUGUACAGUGUGAUAAUCUUUCAGCCAAAGGUAUUCACAGGUUUGCUGCAGAGAAGACUAGGAAACAGUUCAACUGGUCUAAAGGAACAUUUCAACCAGACUGCUGAAGAGGGCUAAGAGAGGAGACAGAUGUGCAGCAUGAGCAAAACAUACAGGGUUGUGACAAUAACACAGGUGAGAUGAUUCAGACGUGUCUGCCUGGUGACUUGGGAAUGCAGAGCUGCUCUACCACUGCAGUACUUGACCACAGCAAGAAGCCACAAGAGAUUUUUGUCAGCUCGUGCCACACAGCACAGGAAUCCCACAGAGUUCCUUCUGAACAGCACCAGCACCUGGGAUGUGUGUAGCAGGAGUCUGUACUUGGACCAGCUACACUCUGCUUCUGUGACAGAGUAACUGAGAACUGAUCAAAUUCAAACAUGCCUGCAGGAAGAGCAGGCAUCGGUACCUUGCUCAUCAAAUCCACAUCAAUUAAACAAAACAGAACCAUCAAGGAGAUGGUCCAACACACCUUUGUAAUUUCACUAUUGUCUUUCUCCCAAAUUUCAACUUCCUACUGUGAACCUUCACAAUCAUCUUUAUGAGUGGGUGGCGAAACUUGCCUUUGUAGCUAGUUUUUGUUCUGGAAAGCAUUUGAACUUUGGGGUAUAUUCCCUAAUUGGCUGCAGGCAGAGAAAGAUCAUGGACGAUUUCAGCCCUUAAAAGUUAAGUUCUGACAAAGUUACAAGCAACUGGAAAUGGUACCCUCUCCUUAGAUAUGGACAAGCCUGACACCUCCAACAGCAAGGCCCAGAAAUUAUGAACACCAAGAAAAUUCAGCUAUGUGCAGGUCAUGUGUUCAUAAGAUCAGCCAUGUAAGCAUUGCUAUAAUUAACAGUAAGCAUAUUACCCGUUACAAAACAAGAUAUGUUGCUGCUGAUCGUAUGUGCAGAAGAAACCUAUGGAAGCUGCAGUACCUGUAUGGAACCCAAGAGAGCUUGUGGAUACAAAGACUAAGAAGCUGCUAUAGUGACAGCUCCAACAAGGCAGCACUGGUUGUUUCAAGAUUAUAGAGCACUCUGGACACCCACGCCAGCUUUGAAGAUGCACCAAGAAGUGCGUGUACUGCUUUGGGAUAAUUUCACACUGGAAGGCUAGUGCAGGGAUGCUGGAGAGAACUGCAGAACCUGGUAGAAACCCAGAUGCACGUUCUGGACAGCAGCCAUGACUUCCUUCUGGAGAAAGGUCUUAAAAUCUAAGUCUCUGCCAUCCAGUGACCCAAGAAUUGUAGGGAUCUAUCCUCAAGUCACAGGGCUUAGCAGCUACUGUAUUAUACCUAGAUUUGUCUUGUGCUACAAACUAAGAGAGACAUGACAGUAAUGGAGAGCUAGUAGUUUUUCAGCUAAUCCCUUGUCCCUCGCCAUUCCAAAGCUAAUUUGUCCCUUCUCAUACUGUGACCGUGCAAUUAAAUUAUUUGAAUAUAUUCCAUGUUUUCAAAUGCAGGUAGCUUUUGUUUUUCCUCAGCCCAAAGGGGACUAUAACAUUGAGUUCAAAUAUAAAACAUAAUCUCAGAAAGGAUCACAGGCUCUCUUAAACUGUUUUUGGGACACAUAUAAGAGGAGAAAAUUGGUUUCUCCAUUUUCUUUAUUAGAUUGCUGUGGGAGACAGCAGAGAAAGCAUCCCAUAUUUCUUUUCAGAUAUUAUAGAGAUUGAGAUAUGGGGUACUCUGAAAAACUGCAAAUAUAUUUUUGGGAGGAUGAUUAGACUUAAUAUGGAUAUUUAAAACCAGCACUAAAUAUGUCAGUGUGAAUGAAAAUAGAAUAAUUGUUUCUAACUUAAACUGAUAUAAGAAAAGGGAUUUACAUUUCUUUCUUUUUCCCCCCCUUUAUUUUUGGAAGAAAGGAAAGAAAAUCUAAGUUUACAUUACAAAAGGGGUGGUGAGGGUUUCCUUGUUUGCUCUCCAGAGUUUUCUUAAGCCUGACAUUUUAUAUCAAUAAGUCAAAUAGAAGCAGGAUAGCUCUGGAUCAAAAAUGAGAAACCAGACACAUGUGGAAUUGGUGAGGCAAUUAAUACCACUUUCCUACAUGUUUCAAAGGAAAUGUGUUGUGUCCUGUGCAGAAGUGUUUGUUUUGACUUGAACAAUCACCAGCUACCUCACAGCUUCUUUACAUUGUUUCAGUAGGGAGAAAAAUCACAAAGUCUUUGUCUACAAUACUCAUAAAAAACCAAAUUUAACAAGGACCAAAGGGCUCCAGUUCAAGCAGGCAGCACUCCGAAAUGUCCCACCCUUACUAUUAGGAUGUGCUUUCACACACAUGCAUUUUGGCAGCAGCCAGCAGAAGGGGUCCCACCCCUGUCAUCCCUCUCUCCCAGUCCCGUGCUGUCCUUCACCAUCACUGGUAGGAUUAUUUUGCUGGCUGUGCAAUGAGCUUGCUCAAAGGACAGAUCUGAAUUAAGGAUUACUCAGAAAAAAUACAAAUACUGAGCAGAAAGAAAAAAGGUGUUUUUCAGCCUGGCUGACUGAGUAAGCAGAAGUGGGUGCAGUGACAGACCCACAGAGCACCAUGUUUGGGGAUGCUCACAUCCCCAGGAGUGAGGGUGGCAGCAGCUGUGAGCUGCUUAUGCCAGUGCAUGUGAAACCACAGCCUCACAGUGCAAGAAUCCACUGCUGAGGAAUGGGAAAGAGUGAGGGGAGAGCUGGUAGCUCACUUCUCCCACUCUGACAUUUCUCAACGUGAAAGAACACCAUAUUGGCUCAGGAGAGCUGAAAAAAAGGCGCUGUGUGAGAAUGGAAACGAGGGUAGCAUCAACACCAAGCAUUCAGAAAUCCAGAGUCAGGCCUGCAUAAGUCACGAGAUCUUUGAAAAUAAGAUAUGUGGUAUUCUUUUUGUUCCUUUCCCCAGUCUUAGACUUUAGGAUGCAUAGAUAUUGAAUGUACACGUUCUUAGACUUUUCAAAGACAGAUUCUUUCUUUGAUACAGCCAUAAACUGAAAUUCUCAUGUCAUUCAGAAAAUAUACCCCGCUUAUCCUGGUGAUUGUUCAUCUACCUGGUACAUCUACUUAGCAUGUCUGACACUUGUGUGUCAGAAAAAUGAAGCUGGAAGAUAACUCAAUCAACAAUUUCAAGUCUACCUGAGGCUGGCCAUGAUUCCUCACUGCCAGCCCCAGGCAAGCCACGUGGUCCCCAGGCUGCAGGCACCUGCAGGCACCGGUCACCAGCAAGCAAGCUCCUCUGUCACCCAUCCGCUGGUGCGCCACACACACUGGUUUGGGUCACAUCCUGCUAUGGAGCCUGCCAAGCAGGCCAUCCUCAGGAAAUAUUGCUUCUCCCGACUCUGCUGAUUCAAUUUCACAAACCUUCUGAAGACCAAAAUUGUUCUGUGAACUAAUAGGAAUUUCUGAUCGUGUAUAUCUCCUCUUGGCUUUAUGGCUGAUCAGAGUAUGCCCGUAUGUAUUACUUAUUAUGCUGUUGAAGCACUUUGACAGAGUUGGAAAAUUGGCUAUUUGCGGAUGGUUCUCGCUCUGCACAGCUGACGGUCCAAGAGAAAUCACAAGAAUGAUUGCAUAGGGGAAAACCUGCAAUUCAGCACACACAUAUCUGCCAAAACAUACACACAGAUCUAUAUCCUGGAUAGGACAUAUCCUGUGAUACGCAGCUUUUUAUUACCCUGACUGAAGCGUCAAAUUUCUUUCUUCCCUCCCCUUCUCUCCUGUGUGUCCUUGCACAGCACAUCUCAUGCUAGCCUAUCCAAAAGCUUAUUACUAAAAGAAAACAAAUACUGAUUUCAGGUAGAUGAAUACUUGAUUCCCAGCCAAAAUAACUUUGCCUUGUGCAAUACUCCUACUUUUCCUUGUGAGUAAUUAUAUGUACCUGUUCACAAUGGGCUAAGCAGCCAAGGCCCCCCCCUAUGCAGGAUCCGUCCACGUCAGUGCAGACAGAGUUGAUGCGUUUUAACACAAAGAUAGCAGCCAAUAAAAGGACUUAUGAGUUAGGUUUUAUUUUUAUUUCUUCAGCAUAUUGAAAGACACAAUUCUAGCUGGUCUCCACAAGUGAAAUUAUUAACAAUCUUUAACACCAGAUGUAAUCACACAGUAAAGCUGGUCCAUUUUUCAACCAGCCAUAAAGCAAGGUUAGCGGCUGGCAGUUCUGGGCAGCUAGGAAAGGUGCACAACAGGCUGAGGCACCGUGCAUCAAACCAGCUUGCCUUCCUCUGCCAAAAAGCUGCCGGGGAGCUAUGGAUUCAGGGCUCUGUGCCUUGUGCUGCUCUGAUGGAUGUAUUUAUUUUCUGGAAGUGUUAAAAGCAUGGCCAGAUUCACUCACCCUGACCUCACUGGUUUAUCUUUGUCAUGAAUAUUUCAGACCUCUGAAACCACUCUAAGCAGGUUAGCAGAUCUGACCUUUGGCUGGGCAGUGCCAUAGCCAUAACCUUCUCCACACACCCCUCCAGCAGGAAGGACCCCCACAAGCCUUGUCUGCCACCAUUCAGGCACUUUGCUGCAGGUGUUGGCAGUCAUGCCGCCCUGCCUGCAGCAGGGAGCCCACCUCAAGCUCAUCCAAUAACCACUUCAACCCAUCAUGACACCUGCAAGCACCAAGGCCAGUCAGGUUACCUGUUAGCUGACACGAGCCACCACCGCCGCCUCAUCUCCGUGCCCUGCACCAUUGCCACUUGCCUUAGGCUUGCAGGGCAUGAUCUCUGGGAGAGAAAUCGCCUUUUUGUUCCGAGCUCGUAUAGUGGCUAGUACUGAAAUGGAUUCUUUUCACCUGGAAAUCUGUUGCUUUGAUAGUUAUAAAGAGUUGGAAAUGAAACUCAUGGCGGGAAAUCUUAGCUAUAACACUGAUGCAAACAAUAACAGUAAAAUGAAACCUUCCACAUAUAGCAAUAUAUAAAGUAAGGUUGUGUAUGGGUGUGUGUGUCUGAGCCAUAUUUCAAACAUGAGGAGGAUGCUACUUGGCAUUGUAUCAAUGGCAGGUCUACUGGUGAUUCUCUUCCAAGAUCUUUGUUUUGGAGGACAUUCAACUUAAAACCUACUGUGAUAAGUCCAAGUAGUUAUCAUUCCACAGUACGAUUGCGUGAUAUAAUUCUUUAAAACUUAAAAAAUUAAUUUUAGAAUAUUUUAUAUAGUAGGAAAACCUGCAGUUUAGAAACAAAAAUCCACUGUGUGUGCAGCAUUUUCAAUAUCUGUUCACAUUUUGCUUCUCUUACCAAUUGACAUGUGUGCAAAUGCAAAGUCUUUCCCUAAAUCAACACUAUAUUAGCAGACCAGUAGCCUGUGCAGAAGCAUUGCCAAACAUGUUACAUGGAACUUUUCCAGUGUUUCAAUUUAAUUAUACUAUUUCUGUGUGUAUAAAUUUAAAUUUAGCAAAUCACCUCAUGGCAACGUAGAACUCUACAGUCAGUACUUCAGGGAAUACUCGGUGUUACUGUCUUCAGUUAAAGAGCUUUAAUUACAUUCAUUCCAGUGCUGGCUAAUCUGGAGGUUAUUCUACUUUUCCAAGGAAAGUAUCAUACUUGGCUACUUAAAACAGAAAAAACACAGGCUAUGCAGCAUGCCCAAUGAGUUAAGAAACUCAGGCUCUGGCAGAGAAGAAGGGAGAGCAUGUUCACCAGUACAGAUCCUAAGCAGAAAACACACUGCCUGCAGCUUGCUUGCGUUUAGGGCUCAAUCUUUGCACAGCGUUAAAAACAAACACUGAUUUCAGUGCCGUAGUGGCAGACUCAGCUACCAAAGAGCUGAAAUGCUUUUCUGAUUUCAUUUGUUGUGGCAUAUGUUCUAGGAGAGGGUGGGGGGAGCAAGUUAUCAAAUCGUAAUUAAUAAUAAACUUGUAGGUAUUUUAAUGUAUUCUCUCUGUACAUGUCAACUGUCAGGUCCAAAGCGGCUCUAGAAUCAGUACCAAUGAAAAAAUGCAGACUAAAAUAGCCAUAUAUUAGGUUCUCUGACUGCUCCAAAUGACAGGAGUACUAACCCUUGCCUGUACGACUUCAUUUCUUUUUAAUAUUUUAUAAAAAUGGAAAUCCUCUAGCAGGAGAAUGAAGACAACAUCAUGAAAACAGGAAUAAGGUUGUCUAUUAAGAUGCAAAGACAAAUGCAAACUGUUUGCUUCAUUUUCUUUUCUUUGAGUUACAAAUUUCUUGCUGUCAUGAAAAAUCUUUUCAUCUUCCUUGAAACUCAUCACUACGGCACUCGGUUGACAAAUAUAUUCAUCACAGUAGUGUAUUUCCCAGAGAUUCCUGUCUUCUGCCUCAAGCAUUUUAUUCCUUUAGAUGAUAAAAGUACUUAUCUGAGAAGAGUUUACAUACAUAUCUGAGUGGCUGUAGGCUCACAUACACCAUCAAAGUAUUCAAAAAAAAACUACUUCAAGAAAAAAAACCCCACAUCUUUAAAGACAGAUAUUCUUAAUGGCAGAGUCUUUAUCCCACUAUGGAUGUACAGUGAUCACCCUUCCACUACAUUUGGAUCAUGACAUGCUCUCUGCUGUAGCAAUUAAGGAGCCUGUAAGUGUAUUUUAUGAAUUUACAAGUUUUAUCUGAGGUUCUCAACGUGUGGCAAUGCAGCUAAAUUACUACAUUCGUAUGUGUAAUAGCCAUUUGGCAGCAGGCAAUAAAGUAUUACUAGGUGAGAAUACAUGGGUCUAUAUGUCGUAUUUUGGUUUAUAUUGCAGUUUGGAAGGCAAUAGGAGCAGACAAAGUUGACCAUUACUGCAGCAACUGUGGU
This is a long non-coding RNA of Cuculus canorus (common cuckoo), 6952 nucleotides long. RefSeq lists it as uncharacterized. The record is from RefSeq and is a predicted model, not a curated record. The transcript has 8 exons. Lineage: Eukaryota; Metazoa; Chordata; Aves; Cuculiformes; Cuculidae.